This 1196-nucleotide ribosomal RNA is filed under the name Atkinsoniella xanthoabdomena. RNAcentral describes it as "16S ribosomal RNA". Lineage: Eukaryota; Metazoa; Arthropoda; Insecta; Hemiptera; Cicadellidae. The record is from RNAcentral.
UUUUUAAAAUUAAAAUUUAUUAAUUAUUACUAUUUUAUAGUAUUUAAGAAAUAAAAAUUAUUUAAAUUUACUGUUAAGGAAAUUUUAUAAAUGUAUAAUAAAAUUUAUUAGUACCUUUUGUAUCAGGGUUAAUUUAAUUUAACAUUUAUAUUUUAUUCCCGAAAAAAGGUUAUUUAUAAUAUUUUUUUUUUUUAUUAUUGAAUUAAUAUUAAUAAACUUAUUAUAGUAGUGAUAUACUAUCCGCCCCUUUAUUAUAUCUGGUUAUUUAGGAAUUCAAUUUAAUUGAAAAUUAAUGUUAAAUUAUUUUUAUAAUUUUAUUUUAAUUAUAUGUAAUUUGGGAUAAUCUUUAUUAUUAUUUAAAAUUUAUUAUUAAUAAUUCUUAUUUAAUUUAAAAUCUUUUAUUUAGUUCUUAUUAGAUUAUAAUUUAUUUAUAUAAUUUCAUAUUAAUUUAUAUUUUUACUGAAUUAUUUUAACUAAUUUUAAAUUAUUAAAAUUAAUGAUUAAAUUAGUAUAAUUUAUAAUUAUAAUAUAAUUAACUCGACAAAUAUUAAUCUCCAACUGUUUAUCAAAAACAUUUCUUUUAGAGAAAAAUUAAAGGUAAAUUCUGCCCUAUGAAUAAUUAAAUGGCUGCAGUAUUUUGACUGUGCAAAGGUAGCAUAAUCAUUAGUCAUUUAAUUGUUGACUUGUAUGAAUGGAUAAAUGAGGGAUUUAUUUUUUUUAUUUUAUUAUUAAAAUUUUAUUUUUAAGUAAAAAAGCUUAAUUAAUUUUUAGGGACGAGAAGACCCUAAAGAACUUAAUUAUUUUUAUUAUUUAAAAUUUUUUAGUUAAAUUUUUAUUAAGAUAAUAAUUAUUAUUUUGUUGGGGUGACAAAUAAAUUUUAACUUUAUUUUUUUUAUUCAUUAAUUUAUGAAUUUUUUGAUCCUUUAUUUAGAUUUAAGAAAUAGUUACCUUAGGGAUAACAGCGUAAUUUUAAUGGGGAGUUCAUAUUUAUAUUAAAGUUUGCGACCUCGAUGUUGAAUUAAGAUAAGUAUAAGGGGCAGGUUUUUUAUUACUAAGUCUGUUCGACUUUUAAAUUCUUACAUGAUUUGAGUUCAAACCGGUGUGAGCCAGGUUGGUUUCUAUCUUAAAAUUAAUUUUCUUUAUAGUACGAAAGGACCUAAAGGGUCAAUCUUAUUUGUUUAUUAUUGAAAAUUAUU